This 73-nucleotide transfer RNA is filed under the name Halobacteroides halobius DSM 5150. It matches the Rfam family "tRNA". Rfam says of the family: Transfer RNA (tRNA) molecules are approximately 80 nucleotides in length. Their secondary structure includes four short double-helical elements and three loops (D, anti-codon, and T loops). The record is from Rfam by way of RNAcentral. Lineage: Bacteria; Bacillati; Bacillota; Clostridia; Halanaerobiales; Halobacteroidaceae.
GGGCGAAUAGCUCAGUUGGGAGAGCACCUGCCUUACAAGCAGGGGGUCAUAGGUUCAAGUCCUAUUUCGCCCA